Molecule: ribosomal RNA, 497 nt
Filed under: uncultured bacterium
Lineage: Bacteria
Description: partial 16S ribosomal RNA
Rfam family: Bacterial small subunit ribosomal RNA
Source: RNAcentral
GAUGAACGCUGGCGGCGUGCCUAAUACAUGCAAGUCGAGCGAACGGACGAGAAGCUUGCUUCUCUGAUGUUAGCGGCGGACGGGUGAGUAACACGUGGAUAACCUACCUAUAAGACUGGGAUAACUUCGGGAAACCGGAGCUAAUACCGGAUGAUAUUUUGAACCGCAUGGUUCAAAAGUGAAAGACGGUCUUGCUGUCACUUAUAGAUGGAUCCGCGCUGCAUUAGCUAGUUGGUAAGGUAACGGCUUACCAAGGCAACGAUGCAUAGCCGACCUGAGAGGGUGAUCGGCCACACUGGAACUGAGACACGGUCCAGACUCCUACGGGAGGCAGCAGUAUGGAAUCUUCCGCAAUGGGCGAAAGCCUGACGGAGCAACGCCGCGUGAGUGAUGAAGGUCUUCGGAUCGUAAAACUCUGUUAUUAGUGAAGAACAUAUGUGUAAGUAACUGUGCACAUCUUGACGGUACCUAAUCAGAAAGCCACGGCUAACUACGUG